RNAcentral lists this ribosomal RNA (483 nucleotides) under Lonepinella koalarum. RNAcentral's name for it is "partial 23S ribosomal RNA". It matches the Rfam family "Bacterial large subunit ribosomal RNA", at positions 1 to 514 of the family's 2925-position model. Lineage: Bacteria; Pseudomonadati; Pseudomonadota; Gammaproteobacteria; Pasteurellales; Pasteurellaceae. The record is from RNAcentral.
GUUGUAUGGUUAAGUGACUAAGCGUACACGGUGGAUGCCUAGGCAAUCAGAGGCGAAGAAGGACGUGCUAAUCUGCGAAAAGUUUGGAUGAGUCGAUAAGAGGCGUUUAAUCCAAAAUAUCCGAAUGGGGAAACCCAGUAGAUGAAGAAUCUACUAUCAUUUACUGAAUACAUAGGUAAAUGAGGCAAACCGGGAGAACUGAAACAUCUAAGUACCCCGAGGAAAAGAAAUCAACCGAGAUUCCGUGAGUAGCGGCGAGCGAAAGUGGAAGAGCCAGUGAGUGAUAGCAGUUUGUUUAGGAGAAUCGGCUGGGAAGUCGAACUACAAAGGGUGAUAGUCCCGUAUCUUAAAAACAAAUUGUGGUACUAAGCUAACAACAAGUAGGGCGGGACACGUGAUAUCCUGUUUGAAGAUGGGGGGACCAUCCUCCAAGGCUAAAUACUCCUGAUUGACCGAUAGUGAACCAGUACUGUGAAGGAAAGG